Cyprinus carpio (common carp) is the source of this 655-nucleotide long non-coding RNA. RefSeq lists it as uncharacterized. The record is from RefSeq and is a predicted model, not a curated record. The transcript is spliced from 2 exons. NCBI's taxonomy places the organism in Eukaryota, Metazoa, Chordata, Actinopteri, Cypriniformes, Cyprinidae.
ACAGAUCAGGCAACUUGGCCGGAGGCUUCAACCACACGCUCGUAAAGCUCAACGCUGCCAUGGCCGCUAGUGAAAACCAGAACUGCAAUAUACAAAGUGACAACACUUAUUACAAGAGAGAAGAAGUACCAUGAUAAAGAUGGAGUGAAGGAUCAGUGGAAGUGCUGGUGUGAGCAACACGACCCCCCAAUGAAACACUACCUUCAUCGUAGGGCCCCCUUAUUUGUGUCUCUUGUGUAAAUAAAUAUAUCUAGGCAAACCUGUGUUAAUGACUCACGCUACAAAAAUAGCACACCUCCUGGUCUUGAACAUUCACGCAAGGAGCUGUUGAAACAUUCAGUCUUCAAAAGCGCUAAGAAGAGCAUGGGGUCAAGCUAAUGUGAAACCUAUGAGCCGUUCAGGUGGGCCAGUGUACUUAACUGACUUCUUCAUAAGCAUCGAUGUCAUUUACAUCAGUGGUGUGGAGUAACAGGCCGUGACGUCGGUGUUAACUUACUUUCCAUUUAAUGAUCCGGCUGAGGUUGAGUUUAGGCAGCCAGCGCUGAGUGAGUUUGCGAUAGAGACCCAGUCUGAGCUCUUCUUCUGUACUUCUCUCUAAAGCAGAGAGCAGAUACAAACUCAGAAAGAGGAACGCCAAUGAGGUCACAACGUAAGG